AGUUGCAUUUAAACCGUCGUCAAUGUUGGGUCGUGUUUCAUUACGGUUUAAAUAAUAUAAAAUUUUUUUACGAUCAUUUUUAUAUAUUUUAUAAAUAUUUUAUUUAUAUUUAAUUAUAUACAAAAAUUAUUUAAUUUAUUAUCAAUAAAAAAAUAUAGAUCGGUUAUCAAAAUAAUUUAUUAUUAGAAAAUUAUAUUUUUAAUUUUUUUUUUUUCAAUUUAAAUUAUCAUUUCUUAAUUGUGAAUAAUUGGCAAUAAUUUUUUUAUUGUAUUUUUAAUUGAAAAAAAAAAAAAAAAAAAGUGAGGCUUAUUUGUGUGGAAAUUUAAUAUUUAAAAUUUAUAUUUUCAACAGAUGAAAAAAAAAUUAAUAGUGGAGGGAAAUAAUAUCAUAUUAUAUGUGCGAAAAAAAAAAAUUUUUUUAAAAAAGUACAGGAUAACAUAAAAAAUAAAUAUAUCAAAUUGAGUCUUUUUUUUUUUAUUAUUUUAUUUUUUCGAGUGAAAGGAGCUAAUUGAAAUUUAUCGAGUGUUCGACAGUAAAAAAAAAAAAAAAAAAAUGAUUUUGGGUCCGAAGGAAAAAAAUAAAACGAAAGAAUAAUAAAGUUGAAAAUAAAAAAAAAAAAGAAAUAAAAUUUUUUGAAAAAAAUUGGGUACUCAUACGUGACAAUAGCCGCCGGCACGUUUUUAAGACUCACGUUGGUGUCGUAUAGGCUACCUGACGUUUUGCAGAUUCAAGAUUUCGUAGAAUAGUUACCAAAACGUUCCUCAACCUCUGUAACCUUCUGUUCUUUUAAACCAUUCUAUCAUAAAUAUUUUUUUGUAUUAUAUUCUAGUGUCUUUAACCCUCUUAAAACUUGCUGAGGAUAAACUCCCACCGCCUCUCUAUUACCUCCUUAUCCCCCUCUUUUUUUAUUACUCCUCUUUUUUUCUUCAUGCAAAGCAAUGCAAAGUCUAUAUGUCUUUUUAAAUUAUAAUCCAAACAAACUAACAGUAGCGAGUUAGUCGUCGUACGUUAACCGUCGUCGUCGUUGCCUUCGUUCUCAAUUUUACUAUCAUUAUUUUCUUGUUGAAAAAAGCUCACUUUCAAAAGCUCUUUGUCUUAAGUCGGUUUCGGUAUACCUCUCAAAAUACCCACAUUGAUCGCAACCAUCCCUCAAAUAUUUUUUAAUAUUUUUUAAACUUUUUUUGUCAUAGAGCUUUUUAUAUAUUAUUUUUUUACAAACAAAUAUUACAUUCGAAAUAAUUUUUUUUUUUUUUUCGUUUCGUACAGUUUUUUAUCCCUGUGAGAUUUUUUUUUUUUUCAUGUGCAAUUUUGACGUUUCUAUAGAGUUUUGAUCGGCUUUUAUUUGUCGGGGAAAAAAAAGGCAACACCCAAGCUAUAUCUGUCACUCUUAUCAUUUGUGAUUUUUUUAUAUUUAUUUAUUUAUUAUUAUGAUUUUAUUUAUAUUCUCUUUUGGUUGCUCUAAAAUUUAACAUACAAUAUUUCAACGAAAUUUUGUGUCGAAAAAGCUGAAACAACUUCAUAGCAAAUAUGAUGAGAUGAUAUAAUAGCUAUGGAAAAUGAAUGGAAUUUAUAUUUAAAAUGGAGGAUAUGGAUACAGUCAGUACACCAUGGCAAUUGGCAAUGGUGCUUUAUAGCAAGCUUGAAUUCACGCUAAAUUGCACCAACUUUGACUGAAAUAUAUAUACAUUGAUCCGUUGAAAAUUGUAUAGAUAUAUACAAGCCCAAUGAAAAUCAAGAGAGGGUGAAGCAUAAAGAAGAAAGAUGAGUAGAAAAAUUGUUGUCUGCCAACCAACAAACCAGAGACUUUCAUGGCUAUACUACAACAAAGUGGUGUGAGAAAAUUUAGACAUGACCGAUGAUGUUCAUCUUGGAAAAUCAGAGAAAAUUGCCAUUUUUAUAUUUAUUUUUUAUAUUUUUUUAUACAAAAAUAAAAUAGAUUGUUGGCAUGGCUGGAUACUUCUGAUUAUUAUGUAUGUAUACACACAUAUCAACCUACACAUUAACAUUAUUUAUCUUGCCAACAAUUUUUUAUCACUCAUCAACAAAUAAAUAAAUAUUAUAUACAUUUAUUCAAAGUGCAUAUAAUGUUACUUUUUAUAAAAGCCAACAUCAUCAUCUAUUUUGCAUUGUCAUUAUUUGACUCAGUCGUAAUAUAAUUUUAAGUUACAAUUUUACUUAUUUAUUUUUCUUAGCUAGCUAUCAAAGUUUGUUGUAUAAUUUUAUUUCUCUAUCUCACUUGUAAGUCACUUUAAAAGACCAACAACAACACAGUCAACCUCUUCUUUUGCUUCUUCUUCUCAACAGGCCAGAGGCUUGUGUGUAUGUAUAUCCUGGGAAACGACUCUGGGCUUAUAAACUCGUCUUAUGACCCACUUGGGAUCACCCAAGAAGCAAGUACUGAAAAUCGUUUUGUGGUUUACCCAAGGUACACACGUAAUGGUGACGAGUUAUUGCUUCCGGAUUUUUAAAUAAUAAAAUAAUAUCAAGUAUCUUUAAUAUACAAUAUAAUCUUUUUGAUUUUUAUAUUUUUUAUAUUUACUUUUUUCCUUUGAGCAAAUUUAUUUAUUGAAAAUAUUUAUUAUUUACUAUUAUAUAUUAUGUAUGUACUUUGUUAAACUUGGCAGGAUUUGUCGUUUCUUUGUUGUCAAAGGAUCGAGGUACAUAAUAAUAUAUAAAACAAUUUUUUUUUUUAAAAAUGCAUCUUUUGAGUUAAUUCGAUGCCAAAGGUUUAAUAUGUAAUUGUUGAAUAUGAUACUGUAAAUUACACGUAAAACAUAAGGCUUUUGACAUUCAAAACGGAUAUUCACAUGAGACUACCAAUGAACGACGAACGUUGAGGAUAUGGAUCCUUUUGACUUUUAGUAUGAGACGAUUCGUGAACAGAAUAAUAAUAAAUGUAUAUAAAGAAAAAAUAAGUUGAAAGAGAAAAAAAAAAACUAGCGGGGAAAUGAAAGAAUGAAAAUAUACCUUAAGGGUAAAGCAUCAUCUUGAUGUGUUGUAUGCAUUUAUAAAUUUUUAUAAAUUCACAACACGUUCAACAUCUAUUCAAACAACAUAUAGACAUGCGUUCAAAAAUGAAAAUAUUAAAAUCGGAUUUUGUGAUUAUUUUUAGAGAAAAUUUUUGUUUAUUUAGUUAAAAAUAAAUUAUUGAAUGACUGAUGAAUUUUUCAAUAUUUACAGCUAGUAAAAAUCUAAUUUAAAAAAAUAUUUGAAUAUUUGUAAAAUAAUAUUUGAUAAAAGUAAAAAAUAAAAUAUGUUUUAUGAAAAAUGAGCAGAUAGAACAUCUUCAAAAGCCAACGGUGCUUUAUCACUUUAAUCUUUUGAUUCUAGAAAAAAAAAAAAACCAUUAUUCUGCUGAUAUAUAUUUUUUAUUAUUAUUUUAUUAUUAUAUUAUUAAAGUCAGCCAACUUUUUGACUAGCAAACAAUUGAAAAUUUCAACAAGAUCAUUAAAAUAAUAAUUAAAAAAAAUAUUAUUAUCAUAAAAAUUGAAAUAAUAAAGUAAAGUUUAAUACUUAUAAAGACUUUUUACGGUUAGUUUGAGAUUUUAUUUGAAAAUUUUUAAUUUUUUUUUUCGUUCUGUCUGUUGAAUACUCGUAUUUAACGACGGAAAUAAAGAAAUUCUUUGGACAGUCCAGAGAGGAUUUAACCCACAGAGUAUGCAAUUAAAAUAAUUUCGUUUUGCUCGACGAAAUUUUAAGUUAAAAAAUAAAAGGGUGAACAAGUUUAAGUAAAAUAGAAUGAGCCAAGGGAACCAACAGCAUAGAGUGGCUAACGGUCAAAAACUCUUGUGUCAUGCUUCUAUAACCCUUUAUUAUACAACGUUGUUUUUCGACAGUAAUCAAAAUUUUAUUUAACUCUAUAAUUCUCACCAUAAACAACAAAAAUUAUUUCAUUUUUUUUUCUAUAUAUUUCAAUGUUUAAUUCCAAAUAAUUCAUUCUUAUUUAUUUUUUUUUUUUCAUUUUUCAACACCAUACAACAAUUUUUCGAUUCAUCUAUUUUUUUUUUUCAAAAUAAUUUUUCUUUUGUUCAACAACACACAAAGACACAUUGUACUUUUUACAUUAUAAAUUUAAUUUUUUUUUAUCUUCAUUAAUUAUUUCUUUAUGAAAUUUUUUAUAUAUAAUUUUUUUUUUUUUUGUCAAUCAAUAUAUAUAUUUUAAAUCGUCUGAUUAAUCAACCGGAAUCUGUGGAUUCGCAUCAGGUGACAUCGUGUGGUACGAUCGGUAUUAAUUACUUCCACCGCUGGUCCACUUCUGACAUAAUAGAGGUUAUCGAGUUUCAUCAUCAAGGCUUUAUGAAACCCCACCAAUAAACCUCAGUAUAUACAUGAACGCAUGAGUGUUUUGUGGUUUCAACGAAAAUGCAAAUAAAUUGAAAUACAACUUUUAUUAUUUCCUUUUUUUUUUUUUAUUUUUUUCAACUGAUCUAAAUAAAAACUCUUGUUAUGGAUCAGUGGCUACUAUCUAUACAUACACUCCAAAAAAAAAAAACAUUUCUUUUUAUCUUUAAAUACCAUUCAAUUCUGCACAGCAAAAUUUAAAUUUACUGAAUAUUAUUUCGAUGUAAAAUUCAAGAGUCAAUGUAAUUUUCAAUUUUCGUAAAAACAACAAUAUCAGUUGAACAUUCAUUUGUUGACAAAAGAACUGUUGAAAUAGCCAGACUUCAAUCAUCAAUUUUAUUUUUUUUAUUUUUAUUUUCAACAGUGUGUGAAUGAAAAAGCCUAUAUGAUGAAAAUCGUGAGGUGACAAGAGGGGAAUGUGAAGGGGGGUUUUAUAAAGGUAUAGGAAGUGCCUAAAAAAAACACCACAGAAUAACAAACAUACCAAACAUAUGAAAAACUCACCCCGAAAAAAAAAAAAAAUACAUGUAAACAGAAAAGGGGAAGCAACCAAGCGAAACAAAAUGCCCAACUAGAUAUAAGCACACACAGAUGUGAAACACAUUUUCGUAUAUUUUUUUGUAUUUAAAUUUCCUCAUAGAUAAAAAUAGAUAAACUAUUAUUGAAUAAUUAUAAAUAUCUAAAAAAGCAAGGCGUAUAUUAUUAAAGUUACUUUGAAUCUUGAGUUAUUGAUAAGAUUUAUUUAACGCCUAUGUAAAAGUCCAGGAAGUACGCAUGGCCCACUUUGAUCCAGCUCCAACAAAGCAUAAAGAGAGGCCUCUCUUUUAGGCCUCCAAAAACUUUGAAAUAUUUAUAUAUGUUAAAAAUAAAAAGAACAAGAAGACAAGAGAAACCAUAGAAAGUAAAAAAAAAUGAAUAAGGCACUGCCCAAAUGAGUUGUGGUCGUAUGAAUUCACAACAACGUUGAAGACAUGAUGAGUGAAAGAAUAAAAGAGACAGUAAAAUAAAGAAACAACAAGAAGUGAAUAAAAUAAAAAAAAAAAUAUUUUUUACAACAGUAUAUAUA
This is a long non-coding RNA of Aphidius gifuensis, 5407 nucleotides long. RefSeq lists it as uncharacterized. The transcript has 3 exons. The record is from RefSeq and is a predicted model, not a curated record. NCBI's taxonomy places the organism in Eukaryota, Metazoa, Arthropoda, Insecta, Hymenoptera, Braconidae.